AUUCCAGCUCCAAUAGCGUAUAUUAAAGUUGUUGCAGUUAAAAAGCUCGUAGUUGGAUCUGCGGUUAGGGCUUGCGGUCCACCACGCGGUGGCACUGCUCGUCCCGACCUACAUAGAAUUGACCCGCGUUGCUCUUCACUGAGUGACCGGGAAGGCUCGAAUGUUUACUUUGAAAAAAUUAGAGUGUUCAUAGCAGGCAGUCCGCCCGAAUAAUGUUGCAUGGAAUAAUGGAAUAGGACCUCGGUUCUAUUUUGUUGGUUUUCGGAAUUGAGGUAAUGAUUAAUAGGGACGGCCGGGGGCAUUCGUAUUACGGUGUUAGAGGUGAAAUUCUGGGAUCAUCGUAAGACGAACUACAGCGAAAGCAUUUGCCAAGAAUGUUUUCAUCA
RNAcentral lists this ribosomal RNA (386 nucleotides) under Nemertea sp. RNAcentral's name for it is "partial small subunit ribosomal RNA". It matches the Rfam family "Eukaryotic small subunit ribosomal RNA", at positions 582 to 975 of the family's 1831-position model. Lineage: Eukaryota; Metazoa; Nemertea. The record is from RNAcentral.